Molecule: long non-coding RNA, 6230 nt
Organism: Sapajus apella (tufted capuchin)
Lineage: Eukaryota; Metazoa; Chordata; Mammalia; Primates; Cebidae
Exons: 2
Source: RefSeq, a predicted model, not a curated record
CCCAGGUAGGUGAGACUACAGAUGUGCACCACCAUGCCCAGCUAGUUUUUUGUAUUUUUAGUAUUUACCUCCAUUCUAUAGCUGUUAAAACAGGCCUCAGAAGGAAAAACAGCUUUCCUUGGUUAGUGGGGGCUGGAAGCUCUAGCAUUUUCUCUCCUCCAGUCCGUCUGGGUAUAAUGGCCACCCAUUGUAGUGGGCUUUGAUUUUUUUCCAAGAAUGAAGCUUGGAGCCCCACAGAAAUUGUGUUUUGUUAGUAAGUUGAUGGAAGGAUUUUUUGGCGUUGAUUUUAAAUUCCCAUAGUCUACUUCUAGCGAAGCUCCACACCCCUCAUUUACUCUCUCUCUUCUCUUUAGGGGCCAAGGAACAAAGUGUGGCCAACUGUUUUGAAGCCACCCUGUUUUGAAAAGGCUUUUUCCACUCAGGUGGCCUUGCGCCGAAUGGCCAGCCCUGCCCACUGUAUGGAAACAAUAGAUGCUGCCUUAGAAGGGAGCAAGCUGGCACUGUCCUGGUAUGUGGGUGCGGCCAGGAAGCUUUGGGCCAAACUGUGCAGACUUGCUGUCUCAGGAUUAGCGCUUUCUACAGCCAGAGCGGAGACGAGGGGCGGUCGGCAUCCAGCCCUUCCUCCUAGAGAUGAAAGGGGUCUGUAGAUGGACAAGACCCUUGUUCACCAAGUCACAGGACGAAGUCAGAGGAGAAGGACAGAAGUCAAAAAGGAGGAGGAAAAGGGUGCUGCUCCUAUCACCUAUAAAUUCUGCAUCCAUGAAAAAAAAAAAAGUCCGCAAAAUUAUGGCCCUGAACCAAUCUGUAUCAACCCUGAACAUGUUGGGCGCCACCCACUGGGUUGGGCAGAAGAUGGUGAAGGCCUGGCAGAAGUUGGUAAGGAACACUGUGCCAAAGGCUUGGUGUGGCAGGAGGUGACAGGACAAAGGUACCAGAGGAUGCCAGCUGGGCGCCAGCCUUCUUAGCUGUCAGAACUGGUCUUGGAAAAAAAGGACAGCCAUCGGGUAUGCUUUUGUAGGAGGCAUUUUUACUCUUGCAGACAGCUGCCUCUCCUUCCUUCCUGUGACUGAACAGGCCAGAGGGGAAGGUCAAGGGCAGGCAGGAGAACAGGGACAAAGGCAUAAAGUAUGGAUUGUACACAGACUCCUGUUCUAAUCCAGCUCACUUACUGACUUUCUAUGUCAAAAAACAAAAACAUUAGAAACUUGGACGGGAAAGAGGCUGGCACAAAUGCAAAUAUGAGCUGAGUUCCAAAAGAAAAAAGACAACAGAUAAAGAGAUUCUCCUCGGUACUCUACCUGUGAAUGACUUUGAAAUUGGCCUUAGGAAGGGUCCUGAUGGGCAUGAAAAAAAAAAAAAAAAAAAACCACUAGCUCUAUUUUCUCUAUAUAGAUGUGAAGGUCAACAAGAGUACCUUGUUGAAAUGUCUGGGAAGUGAAAGUGACACAGAAAAAGAAGACUUGAGGGCAUAUGCAUUGGCCUUUUUUAUCUGAAGGUGCAACAGCCAGUGAAGAUGGGCUGCAUUCUGGGUCCCUGAGAGAGCUGCUCCUGAGCUCAUGCCUCUGUCCCAGCAGCAGGAGCCACUUAGGGCUCUACAAUGUGAGAUCUGCUGUGAGUCCAAAAGACCAGACAUGUGAUUCACUCCUCUGCUUUCUGAAGCAUAGGAUCAGCCCUUAGAAGCAGCUGUUCGCCUCUCCUUUAGUAGCUCAGCAAGAAUUCAGUUCAGUAAAAAUUUAUUGAGCACCUAUCCUGCUGCAGGCACUCUCUAGGCACUGAGAGGGAGUUUCCCUGUACUGUGCCCAGAACACUGCUCCUCAGGCCUUUCUCAGCUCAGGAUAUUGGCUUAAACACCUCAACUGAUUCCAAGUGCCACCCUUCCCAAGGGUUUUCCCUUCUUAAAAACCCAUGCUGUUCUCCUAGACAAAGUUAACAUCUGGCUCAACAUACCAUACCUUCUCUCUGAAGUCCUUAAGGUCUGAGAAAGGGAUCCCAGGAGGGAUGCAGAACUCUUGAUGCUGAAUGAGAGGCAAGACCCUCUGCUCCUGUUGCUCGCCAGUGUUCUCUCAGGUCCCCUAAAGGAAAGGCUCGUCCUGUGGCUCGUCCUCCUAAACCAAUCCCUGGGCAUCCCUUUGUUUGUGCCAAUUCUACACACUAAUCUCUCUGCCCUGUGUUUGCAGAUGCUGGUGGGAUGCAGCUGCAGUUUGUGUCUGUGGAGCAGAUUAAGCACUGUCUGCCCCAGCCUGUCUUAACUGUCUUCUCACUGGUUAGCAGUCCUUGGAAGAACAAACAAUCCAUCCAAGCUACCAGAAAGCAGAAGUUCCAUGAUUCGUGACCAGAGUCUCAUAGCACAGUAAAAUUCAUCUCUACAAACAGGUUUAUGGCUGAACAGACUCCACCAACUCAGAGGGCCUUCUGGAUUCUAAGCUGACUGACUGUUGUGUUCCCUGAGUCUGUGAUCACUGCAGCCAUCUCAGCACUAGAGGACACUCCAAGCCCAGGCUUGCCAUGAGUUUCAUGAGGACUUUGAGGCUGACAUGGCUUUCCCACCCAGAUGGACCUAGGAAAGACCCAAGAAGGAUACUGGACUGACGGACCUGAGUCCAGAAAACUGUCCUGUGGCCCAGACAAGUGUGUCUCCUAGCAGCUCUCUGCAGUUCUCAACUGCAGCAAGAGGAGAUGGAGUUGAGACUGGACCACGUCAGGAUCUGCUGUGGGAAGGAGCUGGUGGGCCUAUCUUAUUGUCUCAGAUGUGCAUGCAUCACCCAGCUGGUCCCUGUAUGAGUUGGGUAGUUCCUAGACUGCAGUAGUAGGGGCUAGAGCUGAGACUGGGCCCCAUCAUGAAAUCUGCUAUGAGCGGCUGGAGAGCCCAAUUUCAGCUCAGAGAGGCUCAUGUCACCCAGCAAGUUUCUACACAUAUAAGAUAGUUUCUCAUCAACAGUAGGAGGGGCUGGAGCUGGGACUGGGUCUCCUUGAAAUCUGCUGUGGGAUGGAAGCUGAAGAGCCUGUCUUAUUGGGGCAGAAAAGGACACAUCUCCCAUCAGGUCUCAGCACAAGUAGGAUAGUUCCCUGGUUGCUGCAGAGGGCAGGGUGGAGCUAAGACUGAGCCCACUUGGAAUUUCCUAUGAGACAGAGGUUGGCAAAUGUGUUUGGGACGCUCAGCCUUUUGGUUUGUGGGAUAUGGGCAAGUAUCCCUCUGGGUCCUUGUAUGAGCACCUCUGAACUGAAACAUCAGCUGAGAAAGGCUGGAGCAGAACCACAGAGCCACUUUCAGAUUCACUGCUGAGACCGAUGUCGGUGGGCAGACAAGUCUUUCUGCCAAGGCACUAGUGUGCACAAUUCCUUCUGGACUUCUUGGCAGACAGUUUGGUUGCAGGCUCAAGGCCAAACAAGGCUGUAGCCAAGCCUCAAUCCCACAGCACACAUACCAAGAGGUCCCAGUUUCAGCUCUGGCCCCUCCUGCUACACUUGGGGAAUUAUCCUAUCUACACAGAACCUUUCUUGGCCAUUUCCAGGCAUGAACCUGGAAGCAAGAUCAGAAGAUCAGCUGACCUGGGUGUUGGUCUGUACUCUCAAAACAACCUCCUAGGUCUUGGGCCCUCUCGGGGUUUCACAAACUCCUACCUGAAUCCUGAGGCUUCCACUGACAGACUUUUGGUUGUAGAUUUGACAAUAAUUCUCGUACCCAUCUUGCAGUUGCGGGUAUGAGCAGGUUACCUUCUAUUUUGCCAUCUUGGCAAUGACACUCAGUAAAUGUUUUUUUAUGUUGAUUUUCUGGUCCAGCUAAUCUGUGAAAUGGAGAGAGACAUCAUAUCUCUUAGCUGUGUUAAUCCAAAUAUCUGAGUGAUCAGCCAAGACAAGGUAAGAGUCUGACUUCAAGGGCCCUGAAGGAAGAUCCCCUGCCCCCAGAAUCAUUCCCCUGCCCCCCACUUCUCGAUGGCCAUUUUAAGAGAAAAGAUACCACUAUGGAAGGACAGACUGACUCAAAGUGGAGAACACAGUGGAAGGGAGCUAACAUCUAAUAAGACCCCCAUGUGUCAGGUAUGAAAUGCAAACUCUCAUUUCACCCUCACAGCAACUGGAAGGCAAGAGUGUCCAGCUCCCUUUCAUAAGUGCAUGUACACAAGCAUGGAUGCAGUGCACAGUGCUGACGUGUGCAUUGCAUCCAUAAUGUUGAGGGAGGCCAAUCUUGUUAAUAAUCAACUACUCGCCUCAUGUGACAAAAUACAUGCUUUCCUAAAGAAGUAUAUGAAGUCACAGAUCAAAUCCUACUAGUCUGCAGUUUAUAUUUAAGCACUUAGUAGUUCCAGGCAUGGUGCUAAACACUUUACCUAAUCUCACUCAAUCUUCACAACAAACUAUGCAAAACAUGUAUGUUAUUAGCCCCAGUUUCAGGCUAAGAUAUGGAGAUUUGGUGAGGCUGAGUCAGAGUCAGGGUUGCAGAGUCAGGAUUUGAACUCAUCUCUGCCUGACUUCCAGGGAUCUCCUCAGACAUAAGCAAAAUCACAAUAGAGAAAAUACUUUAAUUAUAUAUUGGAAGGAAAAUAUUAUUUCCUUUAAAAAUAAACAGAAUCAAAAUUACUGAAGUCCCAUCAAAGUUUCUCUGUCACCCUACAAGUAGAGAGCAGUGGGAAAUAAGAGGGACAGUCAGCUUUAUGUUUUGUGCCUUGAUUUCCUGCCAUGCUCCUUCAGGAUAUACAGUUGCACUGUCUUCUUUUUAAAAACUCCUAUGGAAUAGAUCAGACAUGAAUAUGGAACUUGAAUAGACAGUUCAAGUUUUUUUUCCCCUCAUUUCAGGUUUAGAAUUCUAGCAAAGUUAGAAGGGAAAUCCUUCCACUGGUCAUGUAAAAUGUUAAAACAAGCCCGUGGGAUGACUCUUUCUUUGCUUCUCUGACCUGUACUAGAAUCAUGUAUAAAAUGGAAACUCUAAUAAACGAAUAUAACCAAGUGACACAGACACGUAUCUGCACACCCACCGUCUUUGUGUCCUAAUGCUGAUACAGUGCAGCUGUAUAUCAGUGACACGGUGUUCUUAGGAAGUUGAUCAAUGAUUCCCUUCCACAGUUCAGGCUUUAUUAUAGGAGGUAUUAGUUAGCUAAUUACUAUUAGUCGAGUACCUUGGUGUGCCUUCUUCAAGAGCUCCUUUAAAUGCUCCUCUUUUAUUCUACUUUCAAGUCCCAAAAGCAGAUGCUGCUUUUACGGAAACGCCUAAUUGCUGUGGAAUCUGAUGUAUGUCCUACUUCCAUAUCCAAACCUCCGCCUUCCUGUUUAAUGGACAGCAUUCUCAUGACUCACGUUUGAUUUAUGGGCUGGAAGGCGCCACACCUUUUUUUGGUCCUGUCUGCACACAUUGUUAAGUGUCAUCAACUCUGGAAAAAAGCAUUCAUGAGUUAGUUAUGUCAAUAAUAUGAGACAUUAAAAGAGACUUGUCCUACAAACAAAACAGUAAAUGGCAAAUGCAAGGUUUUGUAGUCCCAUAUGCCUCUCUGCUGCACCCUAGAGCCUAUAAUGAUUUUCUUCAUGUCUGCAGCACGAGGCAUCCCUGAAGCUCAUCAUUAGAUAGCAUGUACCUCAUUAAUAUCUGUCCACCCUAACAUUUUCAAUUCUUUUUGGAUUAGCAAAAAAGAACAAAGAGAAGUGAAAUUUAGAUACCUAAUAAGUAGUGUAAAAUAACAAAACAGUAGCCUAUAAAGCAAUGGGAUGUGGGGACUGUGUUCUGUGGUGGCAGUUGUUGUUUUGGAUGGUUCAUAGCUCUGAAUAAUUUCCCAGCAUUCACCCAAUUUAACGCUACUAUGAAAAAAUAAUGUCUAUAAAAUCCACAUCCCAAAUAACUCUUAUUGAAGAAUUAUAAUUCCCUUCUUCCGUUUUCCCAGCCUAACAGAAUACAAGUUUGUUCAGAGGAUGAGAGGAAACCUAUCCCAUUAAAUCCUUGCCUAGCACAUAGGGUGUCCUGUGACACAGGUCUGGUUAGGGAUGCUGACAAAAGGCUUCUGGGUAUUUUCAGGAAAACUCGUGCAUUUGUACUCAAGCACUGCUCCUUCCGCCUUGAGGGUCGAUGUGAAGGCUAGAGCUGCAGCAGCCAUCUUGCAACCAUGAGACGAGGAGCAGGGGAAUUACAGCCUACAGCUAAGGGUGGCAGAGAAGGAUGGCAGGAGCCUGGAUCCGGGAUGGCAGCAAUGCCUCCUUUACUAGCUUCAGACUUCUUAUUGCUUGACAUAAAUGCCCAUACACUU